GUGUCCCUGCUCAUGAAGAUGUUUCGUUGCCCAUUCUAAUUCAUGUGGUCAACAAUGCAUCUCAACUUACCAAGAGUUUCUUAUUCCCCAUCCUGAAAGGCAGUUAGUGAUUGGAUUUGAUUGCAAGGAUGUUUGCGUUUGUCAAUACAGAGUCAUUUGCAUCAUGCAGCCAUGGUGCUUGUUGGAGAGGAAGCAGUUGUCACCAGAUGCAGAACAAGUAGGAAGCUAAGGCCGCAUGGAUUAUUGAUCCAUUCAUGGGUUGCAGAAUGAAUGAAAAUAUUAUCAUUCUUAAACAUUGAGGUGAAGAAAAACAUGAAGACAACCUUGGCACUAUGUUUGAAGGUGCUAACCCAGACUGUCGGUUCAUUUCCUUCACUUUUUGGUUGUGUCAAUCAAGCUGAGGCAACAGCAGAAGAAUUGUAUUGAAGAUUUUUACCAUCAGAAAUACUAUGUUGUGUUUCGAGUUUUGUUUUUUUUUAUAAAAAAACAUUUUUAUGCAUGUAUAAUAACUUCAUUUCUUAUGCCCUCUCAUUUGCAGUAAGUUUAUUAUAAUCUGUAAGAAAAUUUAUGCAGUGUUACAAUUAUUUAGCUAAAAUCAGUAUGGUGAAGUUGGCUCCUUG
This is a long non-coding RNA of Malania oleifera, 620 nucleotides long. RefSeq lists it as uncharacterized. The record is from RefSeq and is a predicted model, not a curated record. NCBI's taxonomy places the organism in Eukaryota, Viridiplantae, Streptophyta, Magnoliopsida, Santalales, Ximeniaceae. The transcript is spliced from 3 exons.